UUUCCGUAGGUGAACCUGCGGAAGGAUCAUUACUGAGGUAUGCUCGGUGUCGCGUCAGCGCACUGGUUACCCGCCCUUAUGUCAUCUGCGCUGGAUCCCCGCCGCUCUCGGGUCGGCGGGGGACCAGGAAACGUCACUUCGGUCGAGGUGUUGCGUCUCAUCUGCGAUCUCGCAGGGGAGAUGCGACCGCGGCCGGUCGUAUUUUACGCUCUGAGAACAUGAAGUCUGAACCAAAAAUCAAAUGAAGCAAAACUUUCAACAACGGAUCUCUUGGCUCUGGCAUCGAUGAAGAACGCAGC
This 299-nucleotide unclassified non-coding RNA is filed under the name uncultured fungus. RNAcentral's name for it is "sequence contains ITS1, 5.8S rRNA gene". The stretch from base 251 to 299 matches the Rfam family "5.8S ribosomal RNA", at positions 1 to 49 of the family's 154-position model. The record is from RNAcentral. Lineage: Eukaryota; Fungi.